CCCGCCUGGGUACUACGAGCAAAGCUUAAAACCCAAAGGACUUGGCGGUGCCCUAUUCCACCUAGAGGAGCCUGUUCUUUAAUCGAUAAUCCACGAUUCACCUCACCAUUUCUUGCCUAAACCGCCUAUAUACCGCCGUCGUCAAUUUUCCCUUUGAAGGAAUCACAGAAAGUGAAAAGGUACCCACCAAAACGUCAGGUCAAGGUGUAGCGAAUGAAAUGGGAAGAAACGGGCUACAUUUUCUAUAAUAGACCAAACGGAUGAUCAGUAUGAAAUCUGAACCUGAAGGAGGAUUUAGUAGUAAAAAGAAAUCAGCAAAUUCUUUUUAACAUGGCCCUGGGACGCGUACACACCGCCCGUCACCCUCUUCGACUCUAAUAAUCUUUAUCUUAUAACUAUACUUUUGAACCUAGAAGAGGUAAGUCGUAACAUGGUAAGUAUACCGGAAGGUGUACUUGGA
This 460-nucleotide ribosomal RNA is filed under the name Leptobrachium waysepuntiense. RNAcentral describes it as "partial 12S rRNA". It matches the Rfam family "Bacterial small subunit ribosomal RNA", at positions 868 to 1522 of the family's 1533-position model. The record is from RNAcentral. Lineage: Eukaryota; Metazoa; Chordata; Amphibia; Anura; Megophryidae.